Molecule: long non-coding RNA, 562 nt
Filed under: Numida meleagris (helmeted guineafowl)
Lineage: Eukaryota; Metazoa; Chordata; Aves; Galliformes; Numididae
Description: lncRNA (ENSNMEG00000013152.1)
Source: RNAcentral
CAGUAGGUCAUAAUAUAAUAGUAACAGUACUUCUUCUGAUGUCCUCUACUUUUAUAGUUGAUACAGGGACUCAGCUAGAAAGAUUGUAGAAAAUCUGGGGAAGUACAGCAGCAGACUGCAGCCAUUGCCUUGAUAUAUUCAGUACCAUGGGAUCACUGCAUUUCUGGAAGUGAAAAUGAGAGUUCAAGCACAGAGGGAUGUGAAAGACAUCAUCUAGCAAAUGGCUCAGUUCCACCCCCUCUCCCACAGCACAAAUGCAGAGGAUGAAGCAGUCAUCACAGGAGUGUGCCAUGGAGAGAUGGAGGUGGUCUUCAGCUAUCUGAAGACUUCAGAUUACUACAAGUGAUGGAUCUCCGGAGCACUCCCCAGCCCCAUCUGCCCAUACAGUUUACUAAGCCACAGAAGACUGUUUAACCACUGAAGUAGCUAUCAGUAGACCAUCAGUGUUUUGUUUUUUUUAAAGAAUGUACUCAUUUGCAAGAGAAAGAGCCAAUACUUUGUGGGUUUGGGUGUGUGAGGUAGGGGGUCAGUAGUGUGUUAGAGUGCAGUAGUAAAAAAGUCA